Non-coding RNA from Eptesicus fuscus (big brown bat), 84 nucleotides. RefSeq annotates it as microRNA mir-9298. NCBI's taxonomy places the organism in Eukaryota, Metazoa, Chordata, Mammalia, Chiroptera, Vespertilionidae. The record is from RefSeq and is marked provisional. The transcript has a single exon.
CCAGAAAUCACAGAUGAUGAACUUACUGACGGGCGGACAGAGACUCUGUGCUGAUUGUCAUGUUCUGAUUUGGCUCUGAGAGUU